RNAcentral lists this ribosomal RNA (699 nucleotides) under Triticum aestivum (bread wheat). RNAcentral's name for it is "partial small subunit ribosomal RNA". The record is from RNAcentral. Lineage: Eukaryota; Viridiplantae; Streptophyta; Magnoliopsida; Poales; Poaceae.
AUGGAGUACCACGUCGUCGGGCAGAGCUUGUUCGGUGAAGUUCCAGUUCUUGUAGACCAUGGAGGACAUGGGCAUGGCGUGCUUGCGCGGGAACACGGUCAUCUCGAUGACGCCGCCGGCGUUGAUGAGCAGCCCCCGCGCCCGCGCGUUGAUGUUCAUGGUGUCGCGGUAGUGCGGGUGCAGGAGCUUGUACACCGGGUGGGUCACGCUGAGCUGCCUGUUGGUGGCGAUGACGAAGGGCUCCAUCACCGCGUGCGUGUUGAGCCAGUGGCUGAUCAGCUGGUGCCAGCCGUAGUCGUUCACGGAGGCGUAGGCCUUGGCGAGCUGCCAUAUCCAGCCCUCCACGCCGGCGUGCUGCGGCGUGUACACGGUGCUCUUCGCCGUGGUCAGGUCGCCCUGGAUCAGCGGCGAGCUCAGCUCGAUGGCGACCGGCGCCAGCGUGCCGUUCCCUUGCAGGAAGAGCAGGGUCCUGGUCGCGUACACGAAGCUGCCGUCGAGGUUGUUGAUGUCGACCAGGAACGGCAUCAGGUUGUCGUGCUGAUCCACGAUGUAGAGCCUGUUGUCGGCGAGCGCCUGCUCCACGGUGAGGCCCUCGAGGCUCCUACCGAUGUGCGCCUCCGUGAUGGUGCUGGUGUGGUCGCCGUACUUGCUCGGAUCCAGUGUACUUUUGGGAGGGAACUCCUGCACGCAGUCAAAUAA